Molecule: unclassified non-coding RNA, 285 nt
Filed under: Hevea brasiliensis (rubber tree)
Lineage: Eukaryota; Viridiplantae; Streptophyta; Magnoliopsida; Malpighiales; Euphorbiaceae
Source: RNAcentral
GCCCUGCGAAUUGUAGUCGGCAUUUAUGGUAAGUAAAUUCUAAUCUCAACACCCAAAUAUUAAGUUUGGUAUAUGCCCACGAAAGAUGACUCAGCGGUUAAGGAUUCAGUUCUUGAUGUAUUUCAUCUUGAAUUUGAAUCCCACUAACUAAUUGCUGUAAAAGUUCGUCGUGAGGGUGCAAUACCUAAGCUCUACUAUAAAUCCAUCCCCCUACGUCUAUACAUAGCUUUUCCUCCCUGAUAUGGGAUACCCUCCUACCCCUGAACGUUUUAUUACCAAAAGAAA